UUUAAUAAAAUUUUUUAAACCAGUUAAAAUAGUCUAAAUUACAGAAAACUUUUUUAUAGAUACCUUUUUUUUUAUUUUAUUUUUUAAAAAUCUAUAUUUCAUCAUUUCAAAAUUUUAAGUUGUUGUAUUUAGCUUUCUCUGUCGGGUUCUAUCAGUAUUUUAUUCAAUUUUAUAAUUUAGACUAAAAAUAUCAUUAAAAAUAACAAAAAUAUAUUAAAAAUUAUGUUUUUUAGAAAAAUAAGAAUAAUUUGAUUAUUUUGUCAUCUCCAUUAAAGCAGACUCCUUCUAAAAAUAUUUUUAAAAUUUUAAGGGGGUGAAUAUAUAUUUUUGAAAGCCAGGGAGAAAAAAGUAAAAAAAUGAGUAUUUACAGAAAAUUUUCUAUAAUUUAGCCUUAAAAGAAUUGUUUUUUGUAAAAAAU
RNAcentral lists this long non-coding RNA (418 nucleotides) under Ananas comosus (pineapple). RNAcentral's name for it is "long non-coding RNA (ACOM_LNC008213)". Lineage: Eukaryota; Viridiplantae; Streptophyta; Magnoliopsida; Poales; Bromeliaceae. The record is from RNAcentral.